CUCNGUGGAUGUGGUCGAGUGUGCUUGUGUGAUUGAGCUGCACGGACUAAAGGGUCGUGAAAGAUUGGGAGACAAACCUCUGUUUGUUCUAGUUAACGCAGCAGCAUGAUCGCAGAGCCUUCUUCUGUAACACGACGUGUUCAGUAACGACAAUAUUAUCACGUACCGCUGCUGGAAGUUGAAGUUUCAAAGUAAUGCAUAAUUUUGAAGCCGAGAGUGUUGCUAGAAAUAAAAGGGAUGGUAUUAAUUUUGAAUAUCUGCAGAAACUUCUUUACUUUGAAGUUAAGUAGUUUGUCUUUCUUUCUCUGAAUAUGCCUUAUUUGAAUGAGUUUAUAAUGAUCACUCUUUUCCUAAGCCAAUGUGGAACCUUGUAUGUACUCCUAGCAAUCUUCCCCUUGAAGGUAGUACCUUUUUAGGCUU
This is a non-coding RNA of Cucurbita pepo subsp. pepo (vegetable marrow), 420 nucleotides long. Lineage: Eukaryota; Viridiplantae; Streptophyta; Magnoliopsida; Cucurbitales; Cucurbitaceae. The record is from RefSeq and is a predicted model, not a curated record.